This 770-nucleotide ribosomal RNA is filed under the name uncultured bacterium. Its description in RNAcentral is "bacterial SSU rRNA". It matches the Rfam family "Bacterial small subunit ribosomal RNA", at positions 8 to 796 of the family's 1533-position model. The record is from RNAcentral.
AGAGUUUGAUCAUGGCUCAGAACGAACGCUGGCGGCGUGCUUAACACAUGCAAGUCGAGUGCGCGGUUGUAGCAAUACAACUGGCGCACGGCGCACGGGUGCGUAACACGUGGGUAACCUGCCCUUUGGUGGGGAAUAACUCCGCGAAAGCGGAGCUAAUUCCGCAUAAGAUCCGCAAGGAUGAAAGCCGCAAGGCGCCGAAGGAGGGGCCCGCGCCCGAUUAGCUAGUUGGUAGGGUAACGGCCUACCAAGGCUUUGAUCGGUAGCUGGUCUGAGAGGAUGAUCAGCCACACUGGAACUGAGACACGGUCCAGACUCCUACGGGAGGCAGCAGUGGGGAAUCUUGCACAAUGGGCGAAAGCCUGAUGCAGCGACGCCGCGUGGGGGAUGAAGCAUUUCGGUGUGUAAACCCCUUUCGAUCCGGACGAAACCCCGCAAGGGAUUGACGGUACGGAUAUAAGAAGCCCCGGCUAACUACGUGCCAGCAGCCGCGGUAAGACGUAGGGGGCCAGCGUUGUUCGGAAUUACUGGGUGUAAAGGGUUCGUAGGCGGUGCGGCAAGUUGGGAGUGAAAUCUCUGGGCUUAACCCAGAGGCUGCUUCCAAAACUGCUGUGCUUGAGUGUGGGAGAGGCGCGUGGAAUUGCAGGUGUAGCGGUGAAAUGCGUAGAUAUCUGCAGGAACACCCGUGGCGAAAGCGGCGCGCUGGACCACUACUGACGCUGAGGAACGAAAGCUAGGGGAGCAAACAGGAUUAGAUACCCCCGUAGUCC